AAACAUUGACACGUACUCUGAGCAGUCUAAUCCUGUGAUUUAUUUGAUGAGAACAACACCGUGAUAGUCUUUCGCUCAUUACAACUCAUUAAUAUCAGUCACCAUACUGAAUGAUAUUUGUUGGAUCACAACAACCAAAAAACGGGAUUUUAUGAAGGAAAUAACAAAAGCAGUGGGUGAGAUGAGGAGAAGCAUGAAAUGACUUUGAUUGUAGUAUUUAAAUGAACAAUCCAAAGAUGAAACUUGGAGGCAUUGGAGUUCAGAAGAAAAAAGUAAAAAGUGGAUCUCUGUCUUCAUUGGCAAUGAGGGUCUACAUGAUAAAAGAAGGCAACUCAACAUCACCUUCUCAAGUGCAGUGAGGGACAUCUACAUCCCGUGAAUGAGUAAAAAACCCGGCUCCACUGCAAUUGUACAGACAUCUUGACUUCACUGGUGAGCAUCUAGAAGGCCGGGAAACUGCGGAUUUUAUGUCAAAAUAAAUACAAUGUGUCAAGAUUGCUCAAACAGAGCAGUUGGCCUGUUGAAAUUGUCAACCUUGCCCCUCACGAAGCGUCAGUGAGGAGCACAC
Molecule: long non-coding RNA, 568 nt
Organism: Rhincodon typus (whale shark)
Lineage: Eukaryota; Metazoa; Chordata; Chondrichthyes; Orectolobiformes; Rhincodontidae
Exons: 3
Source: RefSeq, a predicted model, not a curated record